UCCAGGCAAUGGAGAUGGUAGAUGCAGCUACGCUGAUCCCUGGAGGCAGAUGAGGAGCAUAAAGGGAAACUAAUCUGAUGCGUCCAUCCCUCAUUAAAAAGCCACUUAUGCCAGGCAGGGAAAAUCUCAAGUCUCUCAGAUGCAAAGAGCACAAGGCAGGAAAACACUCUGGGACACCAGUUGAGGUUAAAGAUAAAGGGUUGGCAUUUUCUCCUGCAUCUUCCCUUAGAACAGAUCAAUUCUGAACACUCCUG
Non-coding RNA from Lepisosteus oculatus (spotted gar), 254 nucleotides. Lineage: Eukaryota; Metazoa; Chordata; Actinopteri; Semionotiformes; Lepisosteidae. The record is from RefSeq and is a predicted model, not a curated record.